Pan troglodytes (chimpanzee) is the source of this 677-nucleotide RNA transcript. It is a transcript of the gene named putative protein CRIPTO3, with no coding region annotated. The transcript has a single exon. The record is from RefSeq and is a predicted model, not a curated record. Lineage: Eukaryota; Metazoa; Chordata; Mammalia; Primates; Hominidae.
AUAUAUGCUUCAAAAAGCACAUUUGUGAUAUUCCACAGAAGACAAAAGAAAGGACUUCUCUGGAAGGUAACUUCAAGGGGACAACAACAGAGCUAUGGACUGCAGGAAGAUGGCCUGCUUCUCUUCCAGUGUGAUUUGGAUCAUGGCCAUUUUGAAGCCUUAGAACUGGGAUUAGUUGCUGGGCUGGGCCAUCAGGAACUUGCGUGUCCAUCUCAGGGAGACCUGGCCUUCAGAAAUGACAGCAUUCGGCCCCAGGAGGAGCUAAGCAGAACCUGCUGCCUGAAUGGGGGAACCUGCAUUGGGGUCCUUUUGUGCCUGCCCCCCGUCCUUCUAUGGAUGGAACUGUGAGCACGAUGUGUGCAAAGAGAACUGUGGGUCUGUGCUCCAUGACACCUGGCUGCCCAAGAAGUGUUCCCUGUGUAAAUGCUGGCACGGCCAGCUCGGCUGCUUUCCUCAGGCAUUUUACUGGCUGUGAUGGCCUUGUGAUGGAUGAGCAUCUCAUGGCUUCCAGGACUCCAGAACUACCACCGUCUGCAUGUACCACUUUUAUGCUAGCUGGCAUCUGCCUUUCUAUACAAAGUUACUAUUAAUUGACACUGACCUAUUUCCAGAAAUACCAUUUUAGAUAUCAUGCAAAUUUCAUGACCAGUAAAAGCUGCUGCUACAAUGAAAGAUGA